This is a long non-coding RNA of Macaca mulatta (Rhesus monkey), 3694 nucleotides long. NCBI's taxonomy places the organism in Eukaryota, Metazoa, Chordata, Mammalia, Primates, Cercopithecidae. The record is from Ensembl.
AUUAGCCAGCACCAGGAUGCAAAGAUCUGUUUAUCACUUCUCUGGAGGUUUGCAGGAAAUCCACGUGAACUACAACACACAUUCCCAUUUGUUUUUCCCUUCCCCAGAAGGACAGGAGGAGAAAAAAGAACAAACCUUUUCCAGACUGAGCAGGCCUCGCUCUGCACCUGGCAGCCUGUUAUUUUCUAGCUCUUGCAAUACUGGGGAUGAUAUGGAGGGGGCCCUAAUAUUCCACGGUACUAACACCACUGGUCUGUGGUGGGGUGUCCUGAGUGUAACAGUGAGGAUUAUCCAGGGGUCCUGAGAGUAACAGUGAGGAUUAUCCAGGGGUCCUGAGUGUAACAGUGAGGAUUAUCCGGGGGUCCUGAGAGUAACAGUGAGGAUUAUCCAGGGGUCCUGAGUGUAACAGUGAGGAUUAUCCGGGGGUCCUGAGAGUAACAGUGAGGAUUAUCCAGGGGUCCUGAGUGUAACAGUGAGGAUUAUCCGGGGGUCCUGAGAGUAACAGUGAGGAUUAUCCAGGGGUCCUGAGUGUAACAGGAUUAUCCAGGGGUCCUGAGUGUAACAGUGAGGAUUAUCCAGGGGUCCUGAGUGUAACAGUGAGGAUUAUCCAGGGAGGGUCCUGAAUGUAACAGUGAGGAUUAUCCAUGGGGGGGUCCUGAGUGUAACAGUGAGGAUUAUCCAGGGGGGGUCCUGAGUAUAACAGUGAGGAUUAUCCAGGGGGCCCUGAGUGUAACAGUGAGGAUUAUCCAGGGGUCCUGAGUGUAACAGUGAGGAUUAUCCAGGGAGGGUCCUGAGAGUAACAGUGAGGAUUAUCCAGGGGGGGGUCCUGAGUAUAACAGUGAGGAUUAUCCAGGGGGCCCUGAGUGUAACAGUGAGGAUUAUCCAGGGGUCCUGAGUGUAACAGUGAGGAUUAUCCAGGGGGUCCUGAAUGUAACAGUGAGGAUUAUCCAUGGGGGGGUCCUGAGUGUAACAGUGAGGAUUAUCCAGGGGGGGUCCUGAGUUAACAGUGAGGAUUAUCCAGGGGGCCCUGAGUGUAACAGUGAGGAUUAUCUGGGGGGGGGCCCUGAGAGUAACAGUGAGGAUUAUCCAGGGGGGGGUCCUGAGUAUAACAGUGAGGAUUAUCCAGGGGGGCCCUGAGAGUAACAGUGAGGAUUAUCCAUGGGGGGGGCGUGAGUGUAACAGUGAGGAUUAUCCAGGGGGGGGGUCCUGAGUAUAACAGUGAGGAUUAUCCAGGGGGGCCCUGAGAGUAACAGUGAGGAUUAUCCAGGGGGGUCCUGAGAGUAACAGUGAGGAUUAUCCAGGGGGGUCCUGAGAGUAACAGUGAGGAUUAUCCGGGGGGGCCCUGAGAGUAACAGUGAGGAUUAUCCAGGGGGUCCUGAGAGUAACAGUGAGGAUUAUCCAGGGGGGCCCUGAGAGUAACAGUGAGGAUUAUCCAGGGGUCCUGAGAGUAACAGUGAGGAUUAUCCAGGGGUCCUGAGAGUAACAGUGAGGAUUAUCCGGGGGGGUCCUGAGUGUAACAGUGAGGAUUAUCCAGGGGGGCCCUGAGAGUAACAGUGAGGAUUAUCCAGGUGGGGCCCUGAGUGUAACAGUGAGGAUUAUCCAGGGGGGCCCUGAGUGUAACAGUGAGGAUUAUCCAGGGGGGGCCUGAGUGUAACAGUGAGGAUUAUCCAGGGGGGCACUGAGUGUAACAGUGAGGAUUAUCUGGGGGGGGGUGUCCUGAGUGUAACAGUGAGGAUUAUCCAGGGGGUCCUGAGUGUAACAGUGAGGAUUAUUUGGGGGGGGGUGUCCUGAGUGUAACAGUGAGGAUUAUCCAGGUGUCCUGAGUGUAACAGUGGAUUUAGGGUCUGAAGUAACAGUGAGGAUUAUCCAGGGGUCCUGAGUGUAACAGUGAGGAUUAUCCGGGGGUCCUGAGAGUAACAGUGAGGAUUAUCCAGGGGGUCGGAUUAUCCAGGGGUCCUGAGUGUAACAGUGAGGAUUAUCCAGGGGUCCUGAGUGUAACAGGAUUAUCCAGGGUUCCUGAGUGUAACAGUGAGGAUUAUCCAGGGGUCCUGAGUGUAACAGUGAGGAUUAUCCAGGGAGGGUCCUGAAUGUAACAGUGAGGAUUAUCCAGGGGUCCUGAGUGUAACAGUGAGGAUUAUCCGGGGGCGGGGGUCCUGUGUCCAAUCACAAGCCAGUUUCUGAGAGGUGGGCAGCGGGAGUUCUCAUGCACACAGAGCAGAGGCCCCGUGAGAACAGCGCAGAGAGGGAGGUAAAGACACCAGCCCGGAAGGCUGCAGUGAGCGGACACAAGCCCUGGAAGCCAGAGCCCCCAGAGGCUGGGAGGGGCAGGAAGGGGCCUCCCAGGAGCCUCUGAAGGGGGUGCAGCCCUGCCCACACCUUGAUGCUGGACUUCUGGCCUCCAGACUAUGGCAGAAUACAUUCCUGGGAAUUUUUUUUUUUUUUUUUUUUGAGACAGCAUCUCACUCUGCUGCCCGGACUGGAGUGCAGUGGCAGGAUCACAGCUCACUGCAGCCUCAACCUCCUGGGCUCAAAUGAUCCUCCCAUCUCAGCCUCCUGCAUAGCUGGGACCACAUGCACGUGCUACCCUACCUGGCUAAUUUUGUUCUUUUGUUUUCCAUUUUGGUAGAGAUGGAGUGUCACUAUGUUGCCCAGGCUGGUCUCAAACUCCUGGGUUCAAGUGAUCCUCCCACCUCAGCCUCCCAAAGUGCUGGGAUUUCAGGUGUGAGCUACCAUGCCUGGCCUACAAUGUCAAUUUUAUCCCUCCUUUGAAAAGUCACAAGGCAUGUUCAUUAACAAACUUAACCGACCAAGAGACCCUCAUUCUCCGAACACUCAGAGUUGGGGCAGCUUUGACAAGGCCCCAAGGAUCACACCUCCUGGUGUUUGGGCCCCUGGGUGGCCCCCGCCCAGUAAGUGUGGGCUGGACCUGGCGACUUGCUCCUAAUGAAUGGAACAUGGCACAGGUGAGGGGGCUCACUUCCGGGGUCGGUUACAGACUGCGGUUUCCGUCACGUGUGCCCUCUCUUGCCCUCCCCCGUGCCCUGGCUUGCCUGAUAGCACAGGAUCCCUGUGGUGGGCUCAGUGUGGCUUCCAGCCAGCAUCCGGCAAGGAACUGAGGCCUCUGUCCCACAGCCCAAAGGAACUGAGUCCCCCCAGCAACCACGGGAGAAGGCUUGGGAGUGGACCCUUCUCCAGCCAGCCUGCAGCUGGCGAAGGCUGAUACCCAGGAGGCCUGGCUAAGCUGCAUCCGGAUCCCUGACCCACACACGGUAGGAUAAUAAACGGCGUCUGGAGCCACAAAGUUUUGGGGCAAUUUUUUUUAUUUUUGAGUCAGGGUCUUUCACUGUCACCCAGGCUGACAUGCAGUGGCACAAUCACAGCUCACUGUAGCCUCCAUCUCCCCUGGCUCAGGUGAUCCUCCCGCCCCAGUCUCCCAAGUAACUGGGACUACAGGAGUGCACCAGCACACCUGGAUAACUUUUGUAUCUUUUGUAGAGACAGGGUUUUGCUAUGUUGCCCAGGCUGGUCUUGAACUCCUGGGCUCAAGUAAUCCUCCCGCCUCAGCCUCCUGAAAUGCUAGGAUUACAGGUGUGAGCCCCACGCCUGGCCUUGGGGCGAUCUGUUCGGCAGCCAGAGGUAACCAGCAAUCCCAGCACCGCGCUCUCCACAUGCUCUCUUCAAACCACUGUCCUGU